RNAcentral lists this ribosomal RNA (253 nucleotides) under uncultured bacterium. RNAcentral's name for it is "partial 16S ribosomal RNA". It matches the Rfam family "Bacterial small subunit ribosomal RNA", at positions 524 to 776 of the family's 1533-position model. The record is from RNAcentral.
UACAGAGGGGGCAAGCGUUGUUCGGAAUUACUGGGCGUAAAGGGCGCGUAGGCGGCCCGCUAAGUCGAACGUGAAAUCCCCGGGCUCAACCCGGGAACUGCGUCCGAUACUGGUGGGCUCGAAUCCGGGAGAGGGAUGCGGAAUUCCAGGUGUAGCGGUGAAAUGCGUAGAUAUCAAGUGGAACACCAGUGGCGAAGGCGAGUCUCUGGACAUUUCCUGACGCUGAGGCACGAAAGCCAGGGGAGCAAACGGG